Molecule: ribosomal RNA, 255 nt
Filed under: uncultured bacterium
Lineage: Bacteria
Description: partial 16S ribosomal RNA
Rfam family: Bacterial small subunit ribosomal RNA
Source: RNAcentral
UACAGAGGGUGCGAGCGUUAAUCGGAAUUACUGGGCGUAAAGCGUGCGUAGACGGUAGCGUAAGUCAGAUGUGAAAGCCCCGGGCUCAACCUGGGAAUUGCAUCUGUGACUGCAUAGCUAGAGUACGGUAGAGGGGGAUGGAAUUCCGCGUGUAGCAGUGAAAUGCGUAGAUAUGCGGAGGAACACCGAUGGCGAAGGCAAUCCCCUGGACCUGUACUGACGCUCAUGCACGAAAAGCGUGGGGGAGCAAACAGG